CAACGCGAAGAACCUUACCAGGCCUUGACAUGCAGAGAACUUUCCAGAGAUGGAUUGGUGCCUUCGGGAACUCUGACACAGGUGCUGCAUGGCCGUCGUCAGCUCGUGUCGUGAGAUGUUGGGUUAAGUCCCGUAACGAGCGCAACCCUUGUCCUUAGUUACCAGCACGUUAUGGUGGGCACUCUAAGGAGACUGCCGGUGACAAACCGGAGGAAGGUGGGGAUGACGUCAAGUCAUCAUGGCCCUUACGGCCUGGGCUACACACGUGCUACAAUGGUCGGUACAAAGGGUUGCCAAGCCGCGAGGUGGAGCUAAUCCCAUAAAACCGAUCGUAGUCCGGAUCGCAGUCUGCAACUCGACUGCGUGAAGUCGGAAUCGCUAGUAAUCGUGAAUCAGAAUGUCACGGUGAAUACGUUCCCGGGCCUU
RNAcentral lists this ribosomal RNA (426 nucleotides) under uncultured Pseudomonas sp. RNAcentral describes it as "bacterial SSU rRNA". It matches the Rfam family "Bacterial small subunit ribosomal RNA", at positions 957 to 1382 of the family's 1533-position model. Lineage: Bacteria; Pseudomonadati; Pseudomonadota; Gammaproteobacteria; Pseudomonadales; Pseudomonadaceae. The record is from RNAcentral.